AGAGUUGGCUGCCUCCUAUCGCAGGGAAAAGAGGAAAACCUAUCCUAAAAAGAACUUAAAGCCAUAUGUGAAGGCUCCAUCCAGGGACAUCAAUGGUGCUAUAGAUGGUCCAUCAGUUCCCAGAAGAGAAAGAAAAGGGAAGAAAACCUCAACGACAGAGAAACUAAAGGACUUUCCUGAGGAAUUGCUACCAAGUAAUCAUGAAGUAGAAAUCGAUGCACCUUUCGAUUUUCAAGUGUUCCAGCAAGUGAGAGCUGAACUUAUGGAGCUUCUGAA
Molecule: long non-coding RNA, 276 nt
Organism: Lineus longissimus
Lineage: Eukaryota; Metazoa; Nemertea; Pilidiophora; Heteronemertea; Lineidae
Exons: 3
Source: RefSeq, a predicted model, not a curated record